AUGGGAUGCGUCAGUUCGAAGCAAUUCCAUGGCGGCGACGAGUGUGGCAGCGAGGGGAAGCCUCGCCGCCGCCCAUCCAGCAACUCGCUGAGGCGUCUGGUUAGUUACAACUCCAGCAAGAGGCACGAGGACUUGGAGGAGGAUGAAGAAGAAGGGGGAGUUGUGGCAGCCACGUCCUCGAGCGUGGGGCACCGUGUUGCCAAAGAUGCCAGCACGGCCAGGCUGAUUCGGAAGCCCCCUGCGCCGGUGGUCGAUGCAGUGGUGCCGCUGCCAGAGGAAGUGGCCGCAACUGCCGCUAGCGUCGUCGAUGUGGAGAGGGCGGUUGCUGCCCCUGUGAAUCGCAGGCGUGCUCCGAAUGGCGUGGCAGAGCAAGAACCAAGGAGUGGUGGCAUCAGGGGUGAGGUGAAGCCAAGGAUCAUAGAUGUGCCGAAUGGAGUGGUGGGGGAGCAUGUGGCGGCUGGCUGGCCGAGGUGGCUCACGGAGGUGGCAACAGAGGCGGUCCGUGGGUGGCAGCCUCGCAAGGCAGAGUCCUUCGAGAAGUUGGACAAGAUAGGGCAAGGUACCUACAGCAGCGUUUACAAAGCACGCGAUCUUGAGAAUGGAAAAAUUGUGGCACUUAAGAAAGUUAGAUUUGCCAAUAUGGAUCCUGAGAGUGUUCGAUUUAUGGCGAGGGAAAUUCACAUCUUAAGAAGACUUGAUAAUCCAAAUGUUAUUAAGCUCGAAGGUUUGGUGACAUCACGCAUGUCUAGUAGCUUGUAUCUCGUGUUCGAAUACAUGGAGCAUGAUCUUGCGGGGCUUGCUGCUACACCUGGCAUAAAAUUCACAGAGGCUCAGGUCAAGUGUUACAUGCACCAGCUACUGUCUGGACUUGGUCACUGUCAUAGUCGUGGUGUUUUGCAUCGGGAUAUAAAGGGUGCUAAUCUUCUGCUUGACAAUAAUGGUGCCCUCAAAAUAGCAGAUUUUGGUCUAGCUACAUUCUUUAAUCCGAACCAAAAGCAGAAUUUGACAAGUCGUGUUGUAACUUUAUGGUACCGGCCCCCGGAACUUUUGUUGGGUGCUACUAACUAUGGUGCCACGGUUGAUCUCUGGAGUGCUGGUUGCAUCCUUGCGGAAUUGCUGUCAGGGAAGCCUAUCAUGCCAGGACGAACUGAGGUGGAACAGUUGCACAAAAUAUUCAAGCUUUGUGGUUCACCAUCAGAGGAGUUCUGGGCUAAUUUGAAGUUAUCACGUGCUACCAUCUUCAAACCACAACAUCCGUAUCGUCGUUGUGUGAAUGAUGUAUAUAAGGACUUCCCUCCUUCAGCUUUGUCACUUCUGGACCGUUUACUUGCUGUAGAACCUGAUAAUAGGGGUACUGCGGCUUCUGCCCUUGAAAGUGAAUUCUUUACAACGAAGCCUUAUGCUUGUGAUCCAUCAAGUCUGCCAAAAUAUCCUCCAAGUAAGGAAUAUGACGCUAAGCUUCGAGAUGAAGAAGCUAGGAGGCAAAGAGCAGCUGCAGCCAAAGGACAUGAAUCUGAAACUGGACGCAGGAAGCAACUUGCAGCACAAAAUGGCACUAUCGGUUUACAGCAACGGCGAGUUCCGGUUAAUCCUAAAAGCAGUAGUAAUAAGUUUACUCCAAAGGAGGAUGGUGUUACUGGCUUUCCAAUGGAUCCUCUGGUAGUAGACAAUGGUCAUGCUCGCCGUGUUCCUUUGAUGAAUGCUGGUCGUUCAUCCUCCACUUUGGGUCGAUCAAGUGGCACAGAUCCAAACGGCCAGAGAUUCUACACCUCUCAGAUUGCUGCUGCUGAGAUGUCUAACCCAUCUACUGCAACUGGGCAGCGAGGCAAUACUGGUAAGCUGUCUAACCUUGGGGACAGCGCCAGGAAACAGUAUUUAAGAGAGCAUCGGUCGAGUUCAAGAUACAGUCAACUCGCUGCUGCCGACCAGUCUGACAAACCCAAAUGGUCGCAAUCGCAUCAAUUCCAAGAAAGACCGUCAUCUUCCCAUCGGAAGGAUGAAGUGGUGGCAGAUAAGGAGCCUACAGGGGUGAAUGGCACGAGGAAGAACCGAAUCCAGUACUCAGGACCAUUGAUGCCUCCUGGGGUAAACAUGGAAGAGAUCCUUAAAGAGCACGAGCGGCAAAUCCAGCAAGCCGUGCGAAGGGCUCGUCUGGACAAGGGAAAGGGCAAGCACGCCGAGAGAGACCAGUCAGAGUCGCUGCUGUACGCUGCCCAUAAUGGCAGGUCAUAG
This 2232-nucleotide ribosomal RNA is filed under the name Triticum aestivum (bread wheat). RNAcentral's name for it is "partial small subunit ribosomal RNA". Lineage: Eukaryota; Viridiplantae; Streptophyta; Magnoliopsida; Poales; Poaceae. The record is from RNAcentral.